GAUGAAGAACGUAGCGAAAUGUGAUAAGUAAUGUGAAUUGCAGAAUUCAGUGAAUCAUCGAAUCUUUGAACGCACAUUGCGCCCGCCAGCAUUCUGGCGGGCAUGCCUGUUCGAGCGUCAUUUCAACCCUCGAGCCCCCCCGGGGGCCUCGGUGUUGGGGGACGGCACACCAGCCGCCCCCGAAAUGCAGUGGCGACCCCGCCGCAGCCUCCCCUGCGUAGUAGCACACACCUCGCACCGGAGCGCGGAGGCGGUCACGCCGUAAAACGCCCAACUUUCUUAGAGUUGACCUCGGAUCAGGUAGGAAUACCCGCUGAACUUAAGCAUAUCAAUAAGCGGAGGA
This 343-nucleotide unclassified non-coding RNA is filed under the name soil metagenome. RNAcentral's name for it is "partial contains 5.8S ribosomal RNA, internal transcribed spacer 2, and large subunit ribosomal RNA". The stretch from base 1 to 120 matches the Rfam family "5.8S ribosomal RNA", at positions 35 to 154 of the family's 154-position model. The record is from RNAcentral.